AAAAUAAGACUAAAAACCAAACGUUAGGCAAAAAAAGCAUCCGCUGUUUCCAUUCGUUAAACACAAAUGGCCAAAAGAAAAACCCUUCCUCACCGAUCUGCUUUGCAGUUUGCCCCAUGUUCUGUUUCUUCUCUGCAACAAUGUGCAAACUUGCCCACUUAGAUUUCUGCCCAUAUACGGAGAAAUUAUUGUUCAGAGAAAGCGACCGAUUGGAAUUUUUCUGGCAGAAGAGGAAGAAUAAGCGUUAGAAUGUUAACGCACCAUGGAUUGAGAGAGGGGUACCACCACAAGCCUCCACUCCACCCGCUAUCAGACUACCGGAAUCGCUACUGGGAUACGGAGGUAGAAGAACCAAGCAGAGUUUGUAGGCGCCAAGAGAAAGAAGAAAUAUUUAAGGCCGGCUAUUGUCCGUUCCCUCGCCAGACUUGGGCCACCGGAACCGCAAGCAAGAAAAAACUAUGGACCAUCAACACUGUUAGGCCAUAUAUCUACCACCUAGAUCGUCGGAACCGGAACCAGUACAAUUUUUUCCCCAUUUUUUAGAUUUUGGCAUUUGGGUCUUUCUGCCAGAACAUCAUACACCCAGAUAGAGUCCAUAAGGCACAGAGAGACAGGCCGUAUACCUGCCUCAGCUUCUUUUCCAAUGUCCUCCUUCAGUAACCCACAGAUUAUUUUCUACUUUCUGCCAUGCAUAGCAAACGACCAAAUCUAUAGAGUUUAGAAGCUGUCUGCAAAUUCCUGCAAUAGCAAAGUGAAAAGGUGGGUUCAUGCUCUGCCCCUAUCUCCUCUCUGUAGCAUCUGCUGUUUGUGUUUGUGCUCUUCCCCCAUCUCCUCUCUGCAACAUAUACGGAAGGUCCACAUCAUCUUACUGUUUCUUCUCCUAUUCGAAUUAGCAUCUUCAAUCUUCAAUAUAUCUGCCUAGGACAGGUGUAUGUUAGGCAACAUCAACAAUAACAGCUAUGGCAGCAAGUCAACUUCAGCAGCAACAUCACAGGAUUUAUGAUGGCUGAACCAAUGCUCAUGAUUGGUGGCAAUAAUGCUCAACUUAAGUUGCUGCAUAACUCAUGUUGGUGCUGCUGCUGGAGGCUUAAGUAGCUGCAUAAUUGCUGGUGGUGUUGUUGCUUAAAGUCAAAUUCUUUUUUUAGACACUAUAUGCUUAAAUAUACUACAUUAUUUAAGUUUGAAUGUAACCAAUGGAAUUAUGAUAACUAAGUUUAUGUAGGAUGCAAAGUUCAUAACUAAUCAGACUAUUCCAACGUUUAUUGGGUAUAAAAGGAAUUGCAUUUUCUUCAA
This is an RNA transcript of Quercus robur (English oak), 1293 nucleotides long. RefSeq lists it as uncharacterized. The transcript is spliced from 7 exons. The record is from RefSeq and is a predicted model, not a curated record. Lineage: Eukaryota; Viridiplantae; Streptophyta; Magnoliopsida; Fagales; Fagaceae.